RNAcentral lists this ribosomal RNA (1417 nucleotides) under uncultured Microbacteriaceae bacterium. RNAcentral's name for it is "16S ribosomal RNA". It matches the Rfam family "Bacterial small subunit ribosomal RNA". Lineage: Bacteria; Bacillati; Actinomycetota; Actinomycetes; Micrococcales; Microbacteriaceae. The record is from RNAcentral.
AACACAUGCAAGUCGAACGGUGAAGCCCCUCUUGCUGGGUGGAUCAGUGGCGAACGGGUGAGUAACACGUGAGCAACCUGCCCCGGACUCUGGGAUAAGCGCUGGAAACGGCGUCUAAUAUUGGAUAUGAGCUGCGAAGGCAUCUUCAGCAGUUGGAAAGAUUUUUUGGUCUGGGAUGGGCUCGCGGCCUAUCAGCUAUUUGGUGAGGUAACGGCUCACCAAGGCGUCGACGGGUAGCCGGCCUGAGAGGGUGACCGGCCACACUGGGACUGAUACACGGCCCAGACUCCUACGGGAGGCAGCAGUGGGGAAUAUUGCACAAUGGGCGCAAGCCUGAUGCACCUACGCCGCGUGAGGGACGACGGCCUUCAGGUUGUAAACCUCUUUUACCAAGGAAGAAGCGAAAGUGACGGUACUUGCCGAAAAAGCGCCGGCUAACUACGUGCCAGCAGCCGCGGUAAUACGUACGGCGCAAGCGUUAUCCGGAAUUAUUGGGCGUAUAGAGCUCGUAGGCGGUCUGUCGCGUCUGCUGUGAAAACCCGAGGCUCAACCUCGGGCCUGCAGUGGGUACGGGCAGACUAGAGUGCGGUAGGGGAGAUUGGAAUUCCUGGUGUAGCGGUGGAAUGCGCAGAUAUCAGGAGGAACACCGAUGGCGAAGGCAGAUCUCUGGGCCGUAACUGACGCUGAGGAGCGAAAGGGUGGGGAGCAAACAGGCUUAGAUACCCUGGUAGUCCACCCCGUAAACGUUGGGAACUAGUUGUGGGGUCCAUUCCACGGAUUCCGUGACGCAGCUAACGCAUUAAGUUCCCCGCCUGGGGAGUACGGCCGCAAGGCUAAAACUCAAAGGAAUUGACGGGGACCCGCACAAGCGGCGGAGCAUGCGGAUUAAUUCGAUGCAACGCGAAGAACCUUACCAAGGCUUGACAUACACGAGAACGCUGCAGAAAUGUAGAACUCUUUGGACACUCGUGAACAGGUGGUGCAUGGUUGUCGUCAGCUCGUGUCGUGAGAUGUUGGGUUAAGUCCCGCAACGAGCGCAACCCUCGUUCUAUGUUGCCAGCACGUAAUGGUGGGAACUCAUGGGAUACUGCCGGGGUCAACUCGGAGGAAGGUGGGGAUGACGUCAAAUCAUCAUGCCCCUUAUGUCUUGGGCUUCACGCAUGCUACAAUGGCCGGUACAAAGGGCUGCAAUACCGUGAGGUGGAGCGAAUCCCAAAAAGCCGGUCCCAGUUCGGAUUGAGGUCUGCAACUCGACCUCAUGAAGUCGGAGUCGCUAGUAAUCGCAGAUCAGCAACGCUGCGGUGAAUACGUUCCCGGGUCUUGUACACACCGCCCGUCAAGUCAUGAAAGUCGGUAACACCUGAAGCCGGUGGCCCAACCCUUGUGGAGGGAGCCGUCGAAGGUGGGAUCGGUAAUU